GACAUUUUUUUCAUUCCGUAGUAAAAUACGCAUGAAAUCAGAGGUGAACGGAUUCGAAAUUUUCGUCUUACACUGGCUAUGUUCUCACUAUAAAACUGAUGACGUCUGAAAUCGAGAGCUAGAUAAAUAUUGAUCCGAUCUACGUCAUCGUAUCGUUAAAUCAAUGGAAAAUCCUAAGCGCAACGAGCUUCGACGAGAAAUGCGUCUGCACCUCGUGGAGAACGAGUUUGUGUUGUUACGUACAUCUUGUUAACUAUUUUCUUCGUGUAAAUAUUUAUACAAAUUAUGAAGAAUUAUUCGGAAAUCAUAUUUAUGAGACAAAUUCCAAAAUCAAAUUCGACCAACUGGAAUUUUGCCAGUGCGUUUGUGACGUACGAAAAACAUUGUUUGAGGAAUUUACGUUGCAAAUAAACAACUUAUUCGACAAAAGAUGAAAUAUCACCGUUAUACUCACAAUGCACAGGUCAAAACAACGGAUUAAACAAUUUCCAGGACAUAUGCAAGCGAUGAAAAGAAUUUACUGAAAAUUGCAGUUUGAUCGGAAAGAUAAAGUGCAUCCAACCGUGACGAAUACUCGUGAAAACACCUACCUUGCGCGGUAAAAUCGGUGCCAAUGACUAGACGGGUAUGGAUCGUUGGAACCGGCGUCUAUGCUCCACGAGUGUCACAGUAAUUGGAAAGUAAAUUUCCGGGAGUAAAGUGGAGAUCGAUAGAAUCGUCACUCGGAGAUACCGUACGUGAUUCUCUUCUCUGACCAGCGGUGCACGGUACAGCGAUCAAUUAUUCAGGAAUUAAUGAAGAAAUUAGCAAAGUUGAGCUUCGCGAUGUCGCGUGCGUUAACCCUCUUGGCAAUAAAUAUGUGCAAGUUAGCUGAUCGAGCGAAUCGCAGAAGGGAGACGAUGCAGACCUGUUGCCUUUGGUCUCAGUUAGAAGAGCUUGGGAGGCAACCACACUCCGCCGGUACCACCCAACAAAUACCAUCUUUCCAUAGAAAUAACAACGUGCAGAGCCAAGCUAAGGACGGUGGCUUUAAACUCGACACUUCCACCUGCCAACCCACGAUAUUCUUGGGGCAGACCACCGCACCGAUUCCCUACCUACGUUUCUUCCCUAAUAAUAGAUCCUUAGUUUUCCACUACUCUGCACCACCAAUACUAUGCUGAUCCGCGUUGACCGUUGUUCCCAACGUCCAUCCGCUGUCGGGACGAGGGUAAGAAACGCCUGCACGCGAUGACGGAGAUCAUCGAUGAAUUCCUACGCGCUAACUUAAACUUACUGCGGUAUAGGGCGACCUUGGCAGAGAAGUUCUUUCAACUAUAAUACCAAAGCAACGUGAUAGGGAUCCACACGCAGUGCCUCUAGUGCGAUUGAUGAUCGUCCACAUGAACCAUUCAAAGUCGUCUAGUAUUGCAUUCUGGAAAAUAUUAUACAUUUGGUUAC
Long non-coding RNA from Athalia rosae (coleseed sawfly), 1440 nucleotides. RefSeq lists it as uncharacterized. Lineage: Eukaryota; Metazoa; Arthropoda; Insecta; Hymenoptera; Athaliidae. The record is from RefSeq and is a predicted model, not a curated record. The transcript has 3 exons.